RNAcentral lists this ribosomal RNA (253 nucleotides) under uncultured bacterium. RNAcentral's name for it is "partial 16S ribosomal RNA". It matches the Rfam family "Bacterial small subunit ribosomal RNA", at positions 524 to 776 of the family's 1533-position model. The record is from RNAcentral.
UACGUAGGGUGCGAGCGUUAAUCGGAAUUACUGGGCGUAAAGCGUGCGCAGGCGGUCUGUUAAGACCGAUGUGAAAUCCCCGGGCUUAACCUGGGAACUGCGCUUGUAACUGGCAAGCUUGAGUGUGGCAGAGGGGGGUGGAAUUCCGCGUGUAGCAGUGAAAUGCGUAGAUAUGCGGAGGAACACCGAUGGCGAAGGCAAUCCCCUGGGCCUGCACUGACGCUCAUGCACGAAAGCGUGGGGAGCAAACAGG